UGUUGCUUGCAAGGGCGUAUGGUGGAUGCCUUGGCAGACAGGACCGAUGAAGGACGUUUGAGGCUGCGAUAUGCCUCGGGGAGCCGCCUACAGGGCUUUGAUCCGAGGAUUUCCGAAUGGGGGAACCCACCGGCCGUCAUGGGUCGGUACCGGCUUCGGCCGGGGGGUACGCAGGGAAGUGAAACAUCUCAGUACCUGCAGGAAAGGAUAUUCCGUGAGUAGUGGCGAGCGAAAGCGGAUGAUGGCCAAACCUUGCGCGUGUGAUACCCGUCGGGGGUUGCGUGUGGGGUGUUGCGGGAUCGCGUGCGCCGGCUCCGACGGGCCGGCCGGCAGUUGUAGAAAACCAUGUGUCAGGGGAACCGGGUUGAAUACCGGGCCGCAGAGGGUGAGGGCCCCGUACCUGAACGCGCAUGGUCUGCCGAUCGCGUCUCCCAAGUAGCACGGGUCCCGUGGAACCCCGUGCGAAUCCGCCCGGACCGUCGGGUAAGCCUGAAUAUUCCUGUCUGACCGAUAGCGAACGAGUACCGUGAGGGAAAGGUGAAAAGUACCCCGGGAGGGGAGUGAAACAGUCUCUGAAACCGUGCGCCUACAAUCCGUCGGAGCCCUUUUUGUGGGGUGACGGCGUGCCUAUCGAAAAAUGAGUCUGCGAGUCAGUGGCAUGUGGCGAGCAUAACCCGUGUGGGGUAUGCGUAGCGAAGGCGAGUCUUAAAAGGCGUUUGAGUCGCGUGUCCUGGACCCGAAGCGGGAUGAUCUAGCCCUGAGCAGGUUGAAGCGCGGGUAAGACCGUGUGGAGGACCGAACCCACCUGGGUUGAAAACCGGGGGGAUGACUUGGGGUUAGGGGUGAAAGGCCAAUCAAAUUCCGUGAUAGCUGGUUCUCUCCGAAAUGCAUUUGGGUGCAGCGUCGGGUCAUUGCGUCCCGGGGGUAGAGCUACUGGAUGCUUGCGGGCCCGUAUCGGGUACCAACAGCAACCAAACUCCGAAUACCGGUGACGUGUAUCCCGGCAGUGAGUCGGCGGGGGAUAAGCUUCGUCGUCGAAAGGGAAACAGCCCAGACCGUCGUCUAAGGUCCCGAAGCGUGUGCUAAGUGGGAAAGGAUGUGGAGUCGCAUAGACAGCCAGGAGGUUGGCUCAGAAGCAGCCAUCCUUGAAAGAGUGCGUAACAGCUCACUGGUCUAGUGGUUCCGCGCCGACAAUGUAGCGGGGCUCAAGCACACCACCGAAGACGCGGCAGUAUUUUGUACUGGGUAGGAGAGCGUCCCAUGAGGGGCGAAGCGGCCGUGUGAACGCGCCGUGGACUUCAUGGGAGUGAGAAUGCAGACAUGAGUAGCGAAAGACGGGUGAAGAUCCCGUCCGCUGGAUGACCAAGGGUUCCAGGGCCACGUUCAUCGUCCCUGGGUGAGUCGGGUCCUAAGGCGAGGCCGACAGGCGUAGUCGAAUGGAUGAACGGGUCGAUAUUCCCGUACCGGCUUUCAGCCGCCAGAACCGAGGCUUGGAGUACUAACCUCCGGGUCCGGGCUUACUUCCCCUUCGGGGGUGGGAUGCCUGGGCCUGUUGGGACCGAUCCUUGUAGUAGGUCAGCGCAGGAGUGACGCAGAAGGGUAGCCGGCCGCGGAGGUGGUCUUCCGUGGUCAAGCACGCAGCCCGUCCCGUAGGCAAAUCCGCGGGGCGUGUGGGCGAGGUGCGAUGGUGGGGGCCGUUUGGCCCGAUAUCCGGUGAUCCCGGCUGCCGAGAAAAGCUUCGGCGUCAGGCUGUUGGCCGCCCGUACCCCAAACCGACACUGGUGGUCAGGUAGAGAAUACCAAAGCGAUCGAGCGAAUCCUGGUCAAGGAACUCGGCAAAUCACUCCCGUUCCUUCGGUUUAAGGGAGACCCCCGAUGGUGAUCCGCCUCGCGCGGGGAGCUUUUGGGGGUGGCACAGACCAGGGGGUAGCGACUGUUUACCAAAAACACAGGUGCAUGCGAAGGCGCAAGCCGCUGUAUAUGCACUGACGCCUGCCCGGUGCCGGAAGGUUAAGAGGAUCCGUCAGCCUUCGGGUGAAGCGGUGAAUUCAAGCCCCGGUAAACGGCGGUGGUAACUAUAACCAUCCUAAGGUAGCGAAAUUCCUUGUCGGGUAAGUUCCGACCUGCACGAAUGGCGUAAUGAUGGCCAGGCUGUCUCCACCCGAGACUCAGUGAAAUUGAACUCGCUGUGAAGAUGCAGUGUACCCGCGGCAAGACGGAAAGACCCCGUGAACCUUUACUAUAGCUUGACACUGAACAUUGAGCCUUGAUGUGUAGGAUAGGUGGGAGGCUUUGAAGCGUGGACGCCAGUCUGCAUGGAGCCAACCUUGAAAUACCACCCUUUAAUGUUUGAUGUUCUAACUCCGGUCCCUAAUCGGGAUUGAGGACAGUGUCUGGUGGGUAGUUUGACUGGGGCGGUCUCCUCCUAAAGAGUAACGGAGGAGCACGAAGGUUAGCUAAUCACGGUCGGACAUCGUGAGGUUAGUGCAAUGGCAUAAGCUAGCUUGACUGCGAGAGUGACGGCUCGAGCAGGUACGAAAGUAGGUCAUAGUGAUCCGGUGGUUCUGAAUGGAAGGGCCAUCGCUCAACGGAUAAAAGGUACUCCGGGGAUAACAGGCUGAUACCGCCCAAGAGUUCAUAUCGACGGCGGUGUUUGGCACCUCGAUGUCGGCUCAUCACAUCCUGGGGCUGAAGUAGGUCCCAAGGGUAUGGCUGUUCGCCAUUUAAAGUGGUACGCGAGCUGGGUUUAGAACGUCGUGAGACAGUUCGGUCCCUAUCUGCCGUGGGCGUUGGAAGAUUGAGAGGGGCUGCUCCUAGUACGAGAGGACCGGAGUGGACGCAUCACUGGUGUUCGGGUUGUCAUGCCAAUGGCAUUGCCCGGUAGCUAAAUGCGGAAAAGAUAAGCGCUGAAAGCAUCUAAGCGCGAAACUUGCCUCGAGAUGAGUCUUCCCUGAGACCUUGAGUCUCCUAAAGGAACGUUUAAGACUAAGACGUUGAUAGGCUGGGUGUGUAAGCGUAGCGAUACGUUGAGCUAACCAGUACUAAUGAUCCGUGAGGCUUAACCUU
Molecule: ribosomal RNA, 3066 nt
Filed under: human gut metagenome
Description: bacterial LSU rRNA
Rfam family: Bacterial large subunit ribosomal RNA
Source: RNAcentral